Molecule: ribosomal RNA, 496 nt
Filed under: uncultured bacterium
Lineage: Bacteria
Description: partial 16S ribosomal RNA
Rfam family: Bacterial small subunit ribosomal RNA
Source: RNAcentral
AUGAACGCUGGCGGCGUGCCUAAUACAUGCACGUCGAGCGCACAGACGAGGAGCUUUCUCCUCUUACGUUAUCGGCGUACUGUUGAGUUACACUUUGAUAACCUACCUAUAAUACUUUGAUAACUUCGGUAAACCGGAUCUAAUACCGGAUAAUAUAUUUAACCGCAUUUUUCAAUAGUUAAAUACGGUUUUGCUUUCACUUAUAGAUGGAUCCUCGCCGCAUUAUCUAGUUGGUAAGGUAACGGCUUACCAAGGCAACGAUGAGUAGCCGACAUGAGAGGGUGAUCGGCAAAACUGGAAGUGAGAAACGGUAAAGAAAACUACGGGAGGAAGCAGUAGGGAAUAUUACGCAAUGGGCGAAAGCAUGACGGAGCAAAGCCGAGUGAGUGAUGAAGGUAUUCGGAUCGUAAAACUCUAUUAUUAGGGAAGAAAAAAUGUGUAAGUAAAUAUGAACGUCUUGACGGUACCUAAUGAGAAAGCCACGGCUAACUACGUG